This 321-nucleotide ribosomal RNA is filed under the name Vibrio vulnificus. RNAcentral describes it as "bacterial SSU rRNA". It matches the Rfam family "Bacterial small subunit ribosomal RNA", at positions 110 to 434 of the family's 1533-position model. The record is from RNAcentral. Lineage: Bacteria; Pseudomonadati; Pseudomonadota; Gammaproteobacteria; Vibrionales; Vibrionaceae.
GUAAUGCCUGGGAAAUUGCCCUGAUGUGGGGGAUAACCAUUGGAAACGAUGGCUAAUACCGCAUGAUAGCUUCGGCUCAAAGAGGGGGACCUUCGGGCCUCUCGCGUCAGGAUAUGCCCAGGUGGGAUUAGCUAGUUGGUGAGGUAAUGGCUCACCAAGGCGACGAUCCCUAGCUGGUCUGAGAGGAUGAUCAGCCACACUGGAACUGAGACACGGUCCAGACUCCUACGGGAGGCAGCAGUGGGGAAUAUUGCACAAUGGGCGCAAGCCUGAUGCAGCCAUGCCGCGUGUGUGAAGAAGGCCUUCGGGUUGUAAAGCACU